GACGAACGCUGGCGGCGUGCUUAACACAUGCAAGUCGAGCGGUAAGGCCCUUUCGGGGGUACACGAGCGGCGAACGGGUGAGUAACACGUGGGUGACCUGCCUUUAGCUCUGGGAUAAGCCUGGGAAACCGGGUCUAAUACCGGAUAUGACUCCGCGGCGCAUGUUGUGGGGUGGAAAGCCUUGUGCGGCUGGAGAUGGGCCCGCGGCCUAUCAGCUUGUUGGUGGGGUGAUGGCCUACCAAGGCGACGACGGGUAGCCGGCCUGAGAGGGCGACCGGCCACACUGGGACUGAGACAUGGCCCAGACUCCUACGGGAGGCAGCAGUGGGGAAUCUUGCGCAAUGGGCGAAAGCCUGACGCAGCGACGCCGCGUGAGGGAUGACGGCCUGU
Molecule: ribosomal RNA, 390 nt
Filed under: uncultured bacterium
Lineage: Bacteria
Description: bacterial SSU rRNA
Rfam family: Bacterial small subunit ribosomal RNA
Source: RNAcentral